GUGGCCACAUCACAUUGAAACACCGGUUCAUGUACGAUCACCGAAGUUAAGCAACAUCAAGUUUGGUCAGUACCUAAAUGGGUAACCGCUUGGGAAUACCAAGUGCUGUAGG
Acanthosepion pharaonis is the source of this 112-nucleotide non-coding RNA. Lineage: Eukaryota; Metazoa; Mollusca; Cephalopoda; Sepiida; Sepiidae. The record is from the annotation of a GenBank genome assembly.